This 304-nucleotide ribosomal RNA is filed under the name uncultured Acidobacteriota bacterium. RNAcentral's name for it is "bacterial SSU rRNA". It matches the Rfam family "Bacterial small subunit ribosomal RNA", at positions 1091 to 1397 of the family's 1533-position model. Lineage: Bacteria; Pseudomonadati; Acidobacteriota. The record is from RNAcentral.
CACGAGCGCACCCUUGUUACCAGUUGCUACCAUUUAGUUGAGCACUCUGGUGAGACCGCCUCGGAUAACGGGGAGGAAGGCGGGGAUGACGUCAAGUCCUCAUGGCCUUUAUGUCCAGGGCUACACACGUGCUACAAUGGCCGGUACAAACCGUUGCAACCCUGCGAAGGUGAGCUAAUCGGAGAAAGCCGGCCUCAGUUCGGAUUGGAGUCUGCAACUCGACUCCAUGAAGCUGGAAUCGCUAGUAAUCGCGGAUCAGCAUGCCGCGGUGAAUACGUUCCCGGGCCUUGUACACACCGCCCGU